RNAcentral lists this ribosomal RNA (266 nucleotides) under Prymnesium parvum. RNAcentral describes it as "partial Bacterial small subunit ribosomal RNA". It matches the Rfam family "Bacterial small subunit ribosomal RNA", at positions 1126 to 1392 of the family's 1533-position model. The record is from RNAcentral. Lineage: Eukaryota; Haptophyta; Prymnesiales; Prymnesiaceae.
UUAAGUUGGGCACUCUAAGGAGACUGCCGGUGACAAACCGGAGGAAGGUGGGGAUGACGUCAAGUCCUCAUGGCCCUUAUGGGUUGGGCUACACACGUGCUACAAUGGCGACUACAGAGGGCAGCGAGGCGGCGACGCCAAGCGAAUCCCAAAAAGUCGUCUCAGUUCGGAUUGUUCUCUGCAACUCGAGAGCAUGAAGGCGGAAUCGCUAGUAAUCGCGGAUCAGCAUGCCGCGGUGAAUACGUUCCCGGGCCUUGUACACACCG